AAUGAACGCUGGCGGCGUGCCUAAUACAUGCAAGUCGAACGCUUUGUCUUUAAUUGAUCUGACGAGCUUGCUCUGAUGUGAUUUUAUCUGACAAAGAGUGGCGAACGGGUGAGUAACACGUGGGUAACCUACCUCUUAGCAGGGGAUAACAUUUGGAAACAAGUGCUAAUACCGUAUAAUAUUAACAACCGCAUGGUUGUUAAUUGAAAGAUGGUUCUGCUAUCACUAAGAGAUGGACCCGCGGUGCAUUAGCUAGUUGGUAAGGUAAUGGCUUACCAAGGCGAUGAUGCGUAGCCGAGUUGAGAGACUGAUCGGCCACAAUGGGACUGAGACACGGCCCAUACUCCUACGGGAGGCAGCAGUAGGGAAUCUUCCACAAUGGGCGCAAGCCUGAUGGAGCAACGCCGCGUGUGUGAUGAAGGGUUUCGGCUCGUAAAACACUGUUAUAAGAGAAGAACGACAUUGAGAGUAACUGUUCAGUGUGUGACGGUAUCUUAUCAGAAAGGAACGGCUAAAUACGUG
Molecule: ribosomal RNA, 522 nt
Filed under: uncultured Weissella sp.
Lineage: Bacteria; Bacillati; Bacillota; Bacilli; Lactobacillales; Lactobacillaceae
Description: bacterial SSU rRNA
Rfam family: Bacterial small subunit ribosomal RNA
Source: RNAcentral